This is a ribosomal RNA of Drosophila subpulchrella, 3985 nucleotides long. NCBI's taxonomy places the organism in Eukaryota, Metazoa, Arthropoda, Insecta, Diptera, Drosophilidae. The record is from RefSeq and is a predicted model, not a curated record.
CAACCUCAACUCAUAUGGGACUACCCCCUGAAUUUAAGCAUAUUAAUUAGGGGAGGAAAAGAAACUAACCAGGAUUUUCUUAGUAGCGGCGAGCGAAAAGAAAUCAGUUCAGCACUAAGUCACUUUGUCUAUAUGGCAAAUGUGAGAUGCAGUGUAUGGAGCGUCAAUAUUCUAGUAUGAGAAAUUAACGAUUUAAGUCCUUCUUAAAUGAGGCCAUUUACCCAUAGAGGGUGCCAGGCCCGUAUAACGUUAAUGAUUACUAGAUGAUGUUUCCAAAGAGUCGUGUUGCUUGAUAGUGCAGCACUAAGUGGGUGGUAAACUCCAUCUAAAACUAAAUAUAACCAUGAGACCGAUAGUAAACAAGUACCGUGAGGGAAAGUUGAAAAGAACUCUGAAUAGAGAGUUAAACAGUACGUGAAACUGCUUAGAGGUUAAGCCCGAUGAACCUGAAUAUCCGUUAUGGAAAAUUCAUCAUUAAAAUUGUAAUAUUUAAACAAUAUUAUGAUAAUAGUGUGCAUUUUUUCCAUAUAAGGACAUUGUAAUCUAUUAGCAUACAAAAUUUAUCAUAAAAUAUAACUUAUAGUUUAUUCAAAUUAAUUUGCUUGCAUUUUAACACAGAAUAAAUGUUAUUAAUUUGAUAAAGUGCUGAUAGAUUUAUAUGAAUACAGUGCGUUAAUUUUUCGGAAUUAUAUAAUGGCAUAAUUAUCAUUGAUUUUUGUGUUUAUUAUAUGCACUUGUAUGAUUAACAAUGCGAAAGAUUCAGGAUACCUUCGGGACCCGUCUUGAAACACGGACCAAGGAGUCUAACAUAUGUGCAAGUUAUUGGGAUAUAAACCUAAUAGCGUAAUUAACUUGACUAAUAAUGGGAUUAGUUUUUUAACUAUUUAUAGCUAAUUAACACAAUCCCGGGGCGUUCUAUAUAGUUAUGUAUAAUGAUAUUUAUAUUAUUUAUGCCUCUAACUGGAACGUACCUUGAGCAUAUAUGCUGUGACCCGAAAGAUGGUGAACUAUACUUGAUCAGGUUGAAGUCAGGGGAAACCCUGAUGGAAGACCGAAACAGUUCUGACGUGCAAAUCGAUUGUCAGAAUUGAGUAUAGGGGCGAAAGACCAAUCGAACCAUCUAGUAGCUGGUUCCUUCCGAAGUUUCCCUCAGGAUAGCUGGUGCAUUUUAAUGUUAUAUAAAAUAAUCUUAUCUGGUAAAGCGAAUGAUUAGAGGCCUUAGGGUCGAAACGAUCUUAACCUAUUCUCAAACUUUAAAUGGGUAAGAACCUUAACUUUCUUGAUAUGAAGUUCAAGGUUAUGAUAUAAUGUGCCCAGUGGGCCACUUUUGGUAAGCAGAACUGGCGCUGUGGGAUGAACCAAACGUAAUGUUACGGUGCCCAAAUUAACAACUCAUGCAGAUACCAUGAAAGGCGUUGGUUGCUUAAAACAGCAGGACGGUGAUCAUGGAAGUCGAAAUCCGCUAAGGAGUGUGUAACAACUCACCUGCCGAAGCAACUAGCCCUUAAAAUGGAUGGCGCUUAAGUUGUAUACCUAUACAUUACCGCUAAAGUAGAUGAUUUAUAUUACUUGUGAUAUAAAUUUUUGAAACUUUAGUGAGUAGGAAGGUACAAUGGUAUGCGUAGAAGUGUUUGGCGUAAGCCUGCAUGGAGCUGCCAUUGGUACAGAUCUUGGUGGUAGUAGCAAAUAAUCGAAUGAGACCCUUGGAGGACUGAAGUGGAGAAGGGUUUCGUGUGAACAGUGGUUUGAUCACGAGUUAGUCGGUCCUAAGUUCAAGGCGAAAGCCGAAAAUUUUCAAGUAAAACACAAAUGCCAUACAAAUAUAAUUAUAUUAUAUAAAUCAAGCUAAUUAAUAUACUUGAAUAAUUUGAACGAAAGGGAAUACGGUUCCAAUUCCGUAACCUGUUGAGUAUCCGUUUGUUAUUAAAUAUGGGCCUCGUGCUCAUCCUGGCAACAGGAACGACCAUAAAGAAGCCGUCGAGAGAUAUCGGAAGAGUUUUCUUUUCUGUUUUAUAGCCGUACUACCAUGGAAGUCUUUCGCAGAGAGAUAUGGUAGAUGGGCUAGAAGAGCAUUGACAUAUACUGUUGUUGUCGAUAUUUUCUCCUCGGACCUUGAAAAUUUAUGGUGGGGACACGCAAACUUCUCAACAGGCCGUACCAAUAUCCGCAGCUGGUCUCCAAGGUGAAGAGUCUCUAGUCGAUAGAAUAAUGUAGGUAAGGGAAGUCGGCAAAUUAGAUCCGUAACUUCGGGAUAAGGAUUGGCUCUGAAGAUUGAGAUAGUCGGGCUUGAUUGGGAAACAAUAACAUGGUUUAUGUGCUCGUUCUGGGUAAAUAGAGUGUCUGGCAUUUAUGUUGGUCACUUGUUCCCCGGAUAGUUUAGUUACGUAGCCAAUUGUGGAACUUUCUUGCUAAAAUUUUUAAGAAUACUAAUUGGGUUAAACCAAUUAGUUCUUAUUAAUUAUAACGAUUAUCAAUUAACAAUCAAUUCAGAACUGGCACGGACUUGGGGAAUCCGACUGUCUAAUUAAAACAAAGCAUUGUGAUGGCCCUAGCGGGUGUUGACACAAUGUGAUUUCUGCCAGUGCUCUGAAUGUCAAAGUGAAGAAAUUCAAGUAAGCGCGGGUCAACGGCGGGAGUAACUAUGACUCUCUUAAGGUAGCCAAAUGCCUCGUCAUCUAAUUAGUGACGCGCAUGAAUGGAUUAACGAGAUUCCUACUGUCCCUAUCUACUAUCUAGCGAAACCACAGCCAAGGGAACGGGCUUGGAAUAAUUAGCGGGGAAAGAAGACCCUUUUGAGCUUGACUCUAAUCUGGCAGUGUAAGGAGACAUAAGAGGUGUAGAAUAAGUGGGAGAUAUUAGACUUCGGUUGGUAUCGCCAAUGAAAUACCACUACUCUUAUUGUUUCCUUACUUACUUGAUUAAAUGGAACGUGUAUCAUUUCCUAGCCAUUAUACGGAUAUAUUUAUUAUAUCUUAUGGUAUUGGGUUUUGAUGCAAGCUUCUUGAUCAAAGUAUCACGAGUUUGUUAUAUAAUCGCUAAACAAAUUCUUUAAUAAAACGGUGCAUUUAUGUAUUUUUGAUUUGGAAAAUUUGGUAUAACUCCAAUUACUCAGGUAUGAUCCAAUUCAAGGACAUUGCCACGGUAGGGAGUUUGACUGGGGCGGUACAUCUCUCAAAUAAUAACGGAGGUGUCCCAAGGCCAGCUCAGUGCGGACAGAAACCACACAUAGAGCAAAAGGGCAAAUGCUGACUUGAUCUCGGUGUUCAGUACACCACAGGGACAGCAAAAGCCUCGGCCUAUCGAUCCUUUUGGUUUAAAGAGUUUUUUAACAAGAGGUGUCAGAAAAGGUACCAUAGGGAUAACUGGCUUGUGGCGGCCAAGCGUUCAUAGCGACGUCGCUUUUUGAUCCUUCGAUGUCGGCUCUUCCUAUCAUUGUGAAGCAAAAUUCACCAAGCGUUGGAUUGUUCACCCAUGCAAGGGAACGUGAGCUGGGUUUAGACCGUCGUGAGACAGGUUAGUUUUACCCUACUAAUGACAAAACGUUGUUGCGACAGCAUUCCUGCGUAGUACGAGAGGAACCGCAGGUACGGACCAAUGGCACAAUACUUGUUCGAGCGAACAGGUGGUAUGACGCUACGUUCCGUUGGAUUAUGCCUGAACGCCUCUAAGGUCGUAUCCGUGCUGGGACUGCAAUGAUAAAUAAGGGGCCAAUUUGCAUUGUAUGGCUUCUAAACCAUUUAAAGUUUAUAAUUUUACUUUAUAAACGGACAAUGGAUGUGAUGCCAAUGUAAUUUGUAACAUAGUAAAUUGGGAGGAUCUUUGAUCACCUGAUGCCGCGCUAGUUACAUAUAAAAGCAUUAUUUAAUACAAUGACAAAGCCUAGAAUCAAUUGUAAACGACUUUUGUAACAGGCAAGGUGUUGUAAGUGGUUGAGCAGCUGCCAUACUGCGAUCCACUGAAGCUUAUCCUUUGCUUGAUGAUUCGA